Molecule: long non-coding RNA, 630 nt
Filed under: Rosa chinensis
Lineage: Eukaryota; Viridiplantae; Streptophyta; Magnoliopsida; Rosales; Rosaceae
Description: sRNA RchiOBHm_Chr6g0297641
Source: RNAcentral
GUGCUAUUCACUUGUUACUUUUGUGCCUUUCUCCUUCUCAACCAUCAAUGUCUGCCACCGCUUCUUUUGCCUUGUACCUCAAAGAGUGACCUCUAUUCACUCACCCAAAGGUCAAAAUCUGCACUUUUGUAAUAGCUUCAGAGAGAUUGCUGUGAACCCACUGACCUCGAAUUGAAAUCCCUUUAGUUACCUACAGCUAUCUCCAGUGGUUGGAAUUGCUGAUUAUAGAGUGGGUGUUAGCAUUUUGAAUAGGGUUGCAGUAUGUAGCAGUUGAUUGGCUUCAUUAGCUGCGGAAAUCUAAGGCUUGAGGUAUGUCGAUAACAAUGAAAGGAGUCCAUGAGUGGACGUGGUAGUGAGAUACCAGAAUUGUCUUGAGCAAACAAUGUUUGGAGCUUUGUUUUGCUUGUGAAGUGUGUGCUGGACCUUACUUUUCUUAUUUAAAUGAUUGCUUCCUGGUGCUGGAUGUUCCUCAUUCUAGAAUUUUGUUCUUUUUGUGUUUGCAAUGUACAUAUGAUGUAACCGAAGUGUUAACCUGGAGCAUUCUUCUGUAGUGGAAAACUUUGUAAGCAAGUUGCUCUUUUGAGCUUAUAAGAUGUAUUACUUUUCUCCCAUAUUUUAGAGAAACUUUUU